Molecule: small RNA, 441 nt
Filed under: Arabidopsis thaliana (thale cress)
Lineage: Eukaryota; Viridiplantae; Streptophyta; Magnoliopsida; Brassicales; Brassicaceae
Description: putative long intergenic non-coding RNA
Source: RNAcentral
UCUUUUUUUUUUACAUCGAAAAAGAAAUUAUCUGUAUAUAUUAUCUCUAAUUGACGGGAACAGAAGUCCAAAAACUUAGUUCUGAAUCCAUCGGAGACUCCGAUCUAAAUCCCGAAUCAGUCUGUACCUGUUUUUGCCCUUCGCCAUCACGCACGCACGGGUUCGUAUUUGUCUUUGAAUGUUCUAAAUCUCUCUCUGAAUUAUCCUUAAUGCCUGUGUGCUUUGCUCAAAUCUAUAUAUUUUUUUCCUCUCUCUCUCUCUCUGCUUCUCUUGCUUCCAUUCAAUUUUGUGUUUGUAACAUUCUGUGUAAUCCAGCAGUUGAAUUAUUCGAGCGUAAAGCACAAACCUUUUAACCAAUCCAAAAUUUUGAGAAAGCUUGAACCUUUAGUUUAUCGGCCGUCUCUGACCAUCUUUUGUUUCCUGAAACAAUUUCAAUUCCGG